Chrysemys picta bellii (western painted turtle) is the source of this 3509-nucleotide long non-coding RNA. RefSeq lists it as uncharacterized. The record is from RefSeq and is a predicted model, not a curated record. Lineage: Eukaryota; Metazoa; Chordata; Testudines; Emydidae.
GCUCCCUGCCCUGCUCCCGGCCCCAGCUCGCCGAGCUCCGCCUCCUCCCCUGACGCUCCCCCGGCUUCUCCGCCCCCUCCCCGCUUCCCGCGAAUCAGCCGCGUCCCGGGCAGCCGGGCUUCCUGCAGGAUGUGAUGGACCCUCAUGGACACAUCAGGACUGGAGCACUGGACACAAGUAAAGACAGGAACUCCAAGACAGGGCUCCAAGACAGGUUUGUGAUUAGGAUGUGGACUCAUAUAAAGGAAAAAGAAAAGGUCAUCAGUUAUGUAGACGACAUAUUAAUUGCCACUGUAACCAAGGAAGAGAAUCUCAAAAUUCUAGAUGCUGUUCAGUGCAAGAUACAAGAAACUGGAAUUGUGAUCAGUCUGACAAAAGCCCAAAUGAUACAACAAAAAGUUAUUUAUCUUGGCAUGGAGCUGGGCAUACACAGGCACAGGCCUGAUGCACAAGGAGUUGAAUUAAUUUGUAAACUGCCAGCCCCGCAAAACGUGUCAGCGUUAAGGUCUUUCUUGGGCCUUACAGGAUUCUCCCAAGGUUUUAUUGAGGGUUACUCAGAGAUUGCACAACCUCUUUAUAUACUGUGAAAGAAGAGCCAAGAAUGGACUUGGGGCAAAAAACAGAGAGAUGCAUUCUGUCAGGUGCUUGCAAAGACUCUGGUGUUGGUCUACCUUCAGCCUAACAAACCCUUCCAGCUUCAACUAGUGACAACUGAGAAAGGAUUAAGUAUUCUUAUUGCAGAACAACAGAGUACAGUAGUUGUAGUUAUACUUAACGUUGUAAUUAUGUUCCUGAAAAAUGUGACUUUAAGCAAAACAAUGUUAAGCGAAUCCAAUUUCCCCAUAAGAAGUAAUGUAAAUGAGGGGGUUAGGUUCCAGGGAAUUUUUUUCACCAGACAAAAGACUAUAUUAUAGAUAUAUGUAUAUAUAUGCUCAGGAUAUGGAAACAGAUACUGCUUAGUAAUAACCGACUCCUUCUCGAAAUGGAUAGAGGCAUAUCCUACAUGAAACAACACAGCUAGCACUACAGCAAAAAUCCUUUUGGAACAAACCUUCUCUAGAUUUGGUCUUCUGGAGGUAUUAGACUUGGACCAAGGACCCCAUUUUGUAGGAGAGAUAGUAAAGUGUUGUGCCAAGCAUUUAUUAUAAAACAGAAAAUCCAUAUUGCAGGACCCCCGCAAAGCUCGGGUUUGGUCGAGUGAACAAAUCGGACAUUAAAGACUGCUUCACGCAAGAUUGUUGCAAGUUCAGGAAAAGACUGGGACAAAAGAUUAUGGCCAUUAGGACAAAUGGCCAUAAGAUCAACAAUUGUGUCCCAUGGGUACACUCCUCACGAGGUCAUAACGGGCAGAAUGAUAAAAACGCCCAAACAGGGGUGGCUAGGAGGGAUAUCUCCAGAGGAGUAUCAACUCAGAAUUAAAAUAGAUCAGUUUAUAAAUAAGCUGUUGAAUACUAUCAGCGCUGUUCAAAAACAGGUCAGUGCAAUUGAAAAGUAAUGCUAGACAGAUGGAUAAAAGACUGGGUGAUGUGUUAAAAUGCAAGGAAUGGAAUGUAGGUGACAAAUUUUUUUAUCGCUUCUACUCAGAUAAGAACCAUUCUUUAAGACCCAAAUGGGUAGGACCAGUUCUAAGGAUAAGGCCUUUUCCUGUAGCUAUAUUGUAAGGCCUAAAGCCUACGGCCUUUGUCUGCAGCCAUAUUAAGAGAGCAGCAGGCAUUAGCUAAGAAGCAGAAAGUCACAUUCCAUCUCAGUUACAUUAAAACAAUGUAAUAUCAGGCUGUUAAGAAGGAGACCCGUCCUAAUAGCCCCCACUAGCACCAGAUAAAGAAACAGAUCUUAAGAUGGUUAAAGAAAACUUAGUUUCAUAGCCUCCUGUCUGGCAAAAAUCACUUAUCAAUAGCUGUAGUUGUAAAAUCCUCAUUUCUUUAUGGUUUUAUCUUUAUGGUCCCCACUUUCCUAUUGUUUGUAUGAUCUCUGUCUGGUUCUUUGAUUGUUUCUGUCUGUUACAUAAUUAAUUUAGCAAAUUAAUUAAGGUGGUAGGGUAGGAUUGGUUAGAGAAUUUUGUUACAAUAUGUCAGGAUUAGUUAGCAAAAUUUUAGUAUCAUGAUUGGUUAAACUAAAAGUAUAGCUAAGCAGGACUCAAGUUUCACUAUAUAAACUGGGGUCCAAAAGGAAGUUCUUUGGGCACUAACUCCAGCACACAGCCUCAAGAACAGAGCUGCCAGACCUCAACACUAUGCCACUUACACUGUGCAGAAACUGGAGUCCCUCAGAUGACCUGAUACUGACUGACCAUCAAGAAGAGUUCAUCUGUCUUAUUGGGAGUGGUGAGCAUUGUAUGCUUAGCAUGUGCAUUCUGUUUUGGUGAUUGUUAAUAAAUAGAGGUUAAGUAGGAUAUUAAGUAGGCUCUUUCACUAAUAAAAGACCCCAUAAAUCCGCAAAAUAUUAAGUCCUAAGUCCAGAGGGAAUGGGUGUUUACCCAGAGCCUGGAGGAGUAGAGCCUAGAGCCCAUGGAGGGGUAAAGUUAGAGUGCCUAAAUUAAGAGGGUUACGCCUUGAGCCCUAGGAACUAGAUAGGUGCCCUAGAAUGUGCAAGUGACAGAGAAUUUUGUGCAGGUAACACAGUCAUAAUAACAAACAAGGCAAGCCCUACAACUUAUCAAGUAGAAAUAAAGGGGAAGAGAAAAGGAACCCAAAAAUGGUUUCACUCUUUGCAACUGAAAGACUGGAAAGGAUUUGUUACUUAAAUGUUAGUAGUAAUUUUUCUUUUUCUCUGCUUUCCUUUCCUUCCAGGAAUUUCGUCACAUCAUGAUUUUAAUACUUUAUUUAAGUGCAUUCAUUUGUAUAACCCAUUCUCUCAUCGUUAAAAAUAAUGAACACUAUUAUUGUAAAGGCAGUGAAAGCCGAAGCCACCCAGGGGAUGAGGUAGUGCAGGGUAUAGAUUUUGUGCUACCCAACCUAUUGUUCAGGUGAUCACAGUAUAUGCUUAUAAGGAAAGUGGAUACUGUUAUUUGGUGUGGAGGGAAGAAACAAGUCUUUAAUGACCUUCACAACAAAUGACGAGCCUCAUGAAGCAACCUUUUAUGAUAACUGAGGAGAGCAGCUUUCUCUGCUGCAAAAGUUUGCCAAUUGGUGUGUAUGGCAAUUUAAUGAUGACUUUCUGUAAAGUUGUUCUAAUGAAACAGUAAUAUUAGAGCCCUCAAAGUGUUCGUAUAUAAAUUCUGAUCUCCCUCACCAGGUAAAAGUAGGAAUAAUUGUUAACAUUACAGUGGGCAUGAAAUAUGUAGUAGAUUUUAUUAAUGUCAAUCUGUAUACCCCUUUUAAACAUUAUAUUGUUAAUUUCAAGUGUCAAAAUUGUACAGAAUUUUAUGUUAAAGAAUAUUACUCUGUAAAUAAGUUUUAUAAUUGAGGCAAUGUAACCUUUCGUACUGAAUGUUAUGGAAGAGUUUAUGUGAAUGUAAACUCUAAUCAUACAAGCAAAUAGCACUGCUCUACAGCCAAAAUGCUUCUGAA